GGGCCGGUAGUUUAGCCAGGAUAGAACGCCGGCCUCCGGAGCCGGAGGUCGCGGGUUCAAAUCCCGCCCGGCCCGCCA
RNAcentral lists this transfer RNA (78 nucleotides) under Pyrococcus yayanosii CH1. RNAcentral describes it as "tRNA-Arg (CCG) (tRNA-Arg-CCG-1-1)". It matches the Rfam family "tRNA". From Rfam's summary of the family: Transfer RNA (tRNA) molecules are approximately 80 nucleotides in length. Their secondary structure includes four short double-helical elements and three loops (D, anti-codon, and T loops). Further hydrogen bonds mediate the characteristic L-shaped molecular structure. tRNAs have two regions of fundamental functional importance: the anti-codon, which is responsible for specific mRNA codon recognition, and the 3' end, to which the tRNAs corresponding amino acid is attached (by aminoacyl-tRNA synthetases). tRNAs cope with the degeneracy of the genetic code in two manners: having more than one tRNA (with a specific anti-codon) for a particular amino acid; and 'wobble' base-pairing, i.e. permitting non-standard base-pairing at the 3rd anti-codon position. Lineage: Archaea; Methanobacteriati; Methanobacteriota; Thermococci; Thermococcales; Thermococcaceae. The record is from RNAcentral.